GACGAACGCUGGCGGCGUGCUUAACACAUGCAAGUCGAACGGAAAGGCCCUGCUUUUGUGGGGUGCUCGAGUGGCGAACGGGUGAGUAACACGUGAGUAACCUGCCCUUGACUUUGGGAUAACUUCAGGAAACUGGGGCUAAUACCAGAUAGGAGCUCCUGCUGCAUGGUGGGGGUUGGAAAGUUUCGGCGGUUGGGGAUGGACUCGCGGCUUAUCAUCUUGUUGGUGGGGUAGUGGCUUACCAAGGCUUUGACGGGUAGCCGGCCUGAGAGGGUGACCGGCCACAUUGGGACUGAGAUACGGCCCAGACUCCUACGGGAGGCAGCAGUGGGGAAUAUUGCACAAUGGGCGGAAGCCUGAUGCAGCAACGCCGCGUGCGGGAUGACGGCCUUCGGGUUGUAAACCGCGUUCGCCUGUGACGAAGCGUGAGUGACGGUAAUGGGUAAAGAAGCACCGGCUAACUACGUG
Molecule: ribosomal RNA, 468 nt
Filed under: uncultured bacterium
Lineage: Bacteria
Description: partial 16S ribosomal RNA
Rfam family: Bacterial small subunit ribosomal RNA
Source: RNAcentral